Long non-coding RNA from Gavialis gangeticus (Gharial), 225 nucleotides. RefSeq lists it as uncharacterized. The record is from RefSeq and is a predicted model, not a curated record. Lineage: Eukaryota; Metazoa; Chordata; Crocodylia; Gavialidae. The transcript has 3 exons.
GCAUACCUGCCAGACCCAGACAGGGACCACACAGCUACCUGGGCUGUGUUAUGGGCACUGUAGCAGAGCCACCUGCACCUCUGGGCCAGCUACCAGUAGGCCGUGCCUGCACAGUUGGCUUUCAUGCAGCACCUGCCCUGCUGGUGGCAUCCACAGCUGCUGCUACCUGUUGUGGCAGAAGCACCACUCAGGUCCACAGCUGAUGCCAGUUUAUCAAGGGCUGUU